AACCGAGCCUCCUCCACGUUAAACGGUAGAAACCAGAACGUAACUGAACCUCUUCCAUGUUAAACGGUAGAAACCGGAACGUAACCGCUGCUGUCCAUAUGCUUUACUGGGUUUCUGGUUCAUGGUGUUCUGCCUCAGCUAUCAUGGCUGUAAAGUUCCUGUGCUGUAGGAUAAGGCUGGUAGACUCAAUAGUUUAGACAAUUAUCGACAUAUUGCAUUAACCAGUAUCUUGUCUAAAGUCCUGGAAAGAGUACUUUUGUCAAAACUAGAAAUGUAUAUUUUCACCACUGACAAAAAUUAAAAAAAAAAAAAAACAGCGCUGACCUGCGUAUAUAUGCAGAGAUUGUACUUAAUUACACAAGCCAUAAUUCA
Molecule: long non-coding RNA, 372 nt
Organism: Melanotaenia boesemani (Boeseman's rainbowfish)
Lineage: Eukaryota; Metazoa; Chordata; Actinopteri; Atheriniformes; Melanotaeniidae
Exons: 2
Source: RefSeq, a predicted model, not a curated record